Molecule: ribosomal RNA, 160 nt
Filed under: uncultured bacterium
Lineage: Bacteria
Description: partial 16S ribosomal RNA
Rfam family: Bacterial small subunit ribosomal RNA
Source: RNAcentral
UGGGGAAUAUUGCACAAUGGGCGCAAGCCUGAUGCAGCCAUGCCGCGUGUGCGAAGAAGGCCUUCGGGUUGUAAAGCACUUUCAGUAAGGAGGAAAGGUUAAGUGUUAAUAGCGCUUAGCUGUGACGUUACUUACAGAAGAAGCACCGGCUAACUCCGUG